Molecule: long non-coding RNA, 317 nt
Filed under: Ananas comosus (pineapple)
Lineage: Eukaryota; Viridiplantae; Streptophyta; Magnoliopsida; Poales; Bromeliaceae
Description: long non-coding RNA (ACOM_LNC037876)
Source: RNAcentral
AAAAGAACUUCUCAUAUCAUUCAUGUGGUUUCACUUUCUUACUUUAUUAUACUGUGGUUUAAAUUGUAUUAAUUUAAUGCCAUGUGGUUUCAUUUUUAUCUUUUUAUUAUUGAUUUUACUAUUUUUUUUUUAUUAAAUCAGUGACAAAGUUAAAACUAAAGGGUAGUAAAGUAAAUAUUCAAUAAACUUAGAUGGGGUAUCUGAAUCUUAUGUACGAAAAUAAACUGGAUAUUUUUUCAAUUAUACAUUUUCAAUUCUAAAGAUCUGUCUAUUUGUUCAUAACUAAAUUUUAAGUGAAAGUGAUUUUCGACUGAACC